This 459-nucleotide ribosomal RNA is filed under the name uncultured Sphingobacteriales bacterium. RNAcentral describes it as "bacterial SSU rRNA". It matches the Rfam family "Bacterial small subunit ribosomal RNA", at positions 920 to 1382 of the family's 1533-position model. The record is from RNAcentral. Lineage: Bacteria; Pseudomonadati; Bacteroidota; Sphingobacteriia; Sphingobacteriales.
CCCGCACAAGCGGAGGAGCAUGUGGUUAAUUCGAUGAUACGCGAGGAACCUUACCUGGGCUCGAACGUAAGAUGACUGUAGGUGAAAGCUUACAUCUCUUCGGAGCAUUUUACGAGGUGCUGCAUGGUUGUCGUCAGCUCGUGCCGUGAGGUGUCGGGUUAAGUCCCAUAACGAGCGCAACCCUACCUUUAGUUGCCAUCAGGUAAUGCUGGGGACUCUAAAGGAACUGCCUACGCAAGUAGUGAGGAAGCGGGGAUGACGUCAAAUCAGCACGGCCCUUACGUCCAGGGCUACACACGUGCUACAAUGGCCGAUACAGAGGGCAGCUACCUGGUGACAGGAUGCAAAUCUCCAAAGUCGGUCUCAGUUCGGAUCGGAGUCUGCAACCCGACUCCGUGAAGUUGGAUUCGCUAGUAAUCGCGCAUCAGCCAUGGCGCGGUGAAUACGUUCCCGGGCCUU